AUGGGGACAGUCGCAAUCUACAGCCUUUUCAUCAUCAACAAGUCUGGCGGCCUUAUAUACUACAAGGACUAUGGCUCAGCGGGGAGAAUGGACACCAACGACAGUUUGCGUCUGGCGAGUCUCUGGCACUCGAUGCAUGCUAUCUCACAGCAGCUGUCCCCUACCACUGGCUGUACUGGCAUUGACCUCUUACAGGCCCACAAUUUCGAUCUCCAUUGCUUCCAAUCCCUCACAGGGACCAAAUUUUUCGUUGUAUGCGAAACAGGCGCUCAAAAUAUGGAAAUCCUGCUGAAAACUAUAUAUGAGCUGUACACGGAGUUUGUUUUGAAGAACCCAUUCUACGAGAUGGAGAUGCCAAUCCGGUGUGAGCUCUUUGACCUCAACUUAGCUCAUGUCAUCCAGAAGGACCGUGUCGCACUUCUGGGCCGGUGA
RNAcentral lists this ribosomal RNA (432 nucleotides) under Triticum aestivum (bread wheat). RNAcentral's name for it is "partial small subunit ribosomal RNA". Lineage: Eukaryota; Viridiplantae; Streptophyta; Magnoliopsida; Poales; Poaceae. The record is from RNAcentral.